This 446-nucleotide ribosomal RNA is filed under the name uncultured bacterium. RNAcentral describes it as "partial 16S ribosomal RNA". It matches the Rfam family "Bacterial small subunit ribosomal RNA", at positions 338 to 795 of the family's 1533-position model. The record is from RNAcentral.
CCUACGGGCGGCAGCAGUCGAGAAUCAUUCACAAUGGGGGAAACCCUGAUGGUGCGACGCCGCGUGGGGGAAUGAAGGUCUUCGGAUUGUAAACCCCUGUCAUGUGGGAGCAAAUUAAAAAGAUAGUACCACAAGAGGAAGAGACGGCUAACUCUGUGCCAGCAGCCGCGGUAAUACAGAGGUCUCAAGCGUUGUUCGGAAUCACUGGGCGUAAAGCGUGCGUAGGCUGUUUCGUAAGUCGUGUGUGAAAGGCGCGGGCUCAACCCGCGGACGGCACAUGAUACUGCGAGACUAGAGUAAUGGAGGGGGAACCGGAAUUCGCGGUGGAGCAGUGAAAUGCGGAGAUAGCGAGAGGAACACUCGUGGCGAGGGCGGGUUCCUGGACAUUAACUGACGCUGAGGCACGAAGGCCAGGGGAGCGAAAGGGAUUAGAUACCCGAGUAGUC